CAAAGAUAAAUUAAUGCUGCUUCUCCUCUGCUUUGAGUGCAGCAGGAUGCUGAAGGCAGCAGAAACGAAGCACUAAACAACACAUUAGUGCUAUCCAAGAAAACUAGAAUAACCAGAAUAACCGAAAAAGAGGAUCUAUUUUCCACAUUAAGGAAUGAAAUCCAACUCUUCAAAACAGUUAAAUAGACCAAAGUGUUUGUGUGUGUAUGGAUUGUUAUGACUCAGUGUGAGUUUGCAGUGCAGUAGAAUAGCCCUUGGGAAAUAGCAGUUUUCUGGCUUUGCUGUCUUUCCAGAACCAAGCAAGUGCUAAAUUGUUACUGUCAUAUUCACGCUUCAUGUAAGGUAUUUUAUGAAGAUACUUUGGCUAAUUUGGAUCACUGCACUUUGCCACAGUGCUACAGCAAGGAAGUCUUGUGCUGGCUCUGCAUCAUUAAAGGGAAUUAUUAAGGAAAUAAUAUUUCUUAGAAGUUUCCUAUUAGGUCGUAGGGGAGUUUGGCAGGAGUGUUAAUACUACAGGAGCUCUAUAUCUACUGUGGCAGUGGCAUGUGAAUGUAAUAAUGCUGUUAGAUUUUCACUACAAUCAAAAAUCCAAGUCUGUGAGGCUGAAGAAUAGAUUGGUUUAUAUCAUGUAUGUCACAGUACUCUAUACACUAAAAUUUUAUUAUAUUUGGCUUAUUGCUGCUUGUAGAAAUACCCUUGUCUUAUAACUUGGUCCUCUUUUCCUCCUUAAGGAAAUGCUUUAGAAGCAUUUUGAGAUGUUGCUGAUGCUACUCAUAUGAAAGGAAACUGACUGUGAAAAGCCUGAGAAAUUACUUUUACCUUCUGGAAAGUAGUUAGGUUGUUUUUGGUGCCCAGUAUACAAAGUGUGGAAGCUAAAAUACAAAAGAGAAGUGAUGGAAGAUGAAAUUAGGUGCAUUGCAAAGCUGAAGCUUAAUGCAGGGGGUUCAGGAGGACCAGAGCAGAGCAUCAGCAGGACUGAGCAGCUGUCUCUUCAUGCUGUCAGACAAUGAAGGUGUUGAGUGGUUCAGCCUGGUCCAUCUGGAUGGAGAGCUAGGAAUAGGCACACUCCAGCAAAGCAGGUUCACCUCAUGUUUUGGCCUGAGGCAUAGAGAUAGCAGCUGACAUGACUUUUCAGCGUUUUGGAUUGACCAUACUGCUUGUCCCUGCUGCUGCUCCAAUUUAUCAGCUUUGUUUAAAGAUCAAAGAAUUUAGUAUAAACAGAUUUAAGUUGGAAACAGUCUGACUUCUUGCAUGUUUAUUUUCUCUGUUAAUGAGAAGAAUGACCUAAUCCAAAAUUAUUAUCACUUUUUCUAAAAAUUUGAAGUGGAGAAAUAAUUUAGUUGCUUCACAAGUAGAAAAGCAGCUCAAAAAUGGAUGCAGAGGCUGCAGAAUCAAGGUCUGCCAAGAA
Molecule: long non-coding RNA, 1408 nt
Filed under: Cyanistes caeruleus (blue tit)
Lineage: Eukaryota; Metazoa; Chordata; Aves; Passeriformes; Paridae
Description: lncRNA (ENSCCEG00000013725.1)
Source: RNAcentral